Molecule: non-coding RNA, 363 nt
Organism: Myripristis murdjan (pinecone soldierfish)
Lineage: Eukaryota; Metazoa; Chordata; Actinopteri; Holocentriformes; Holocentridae
Source: the annotation of a RefSeq genome assembly
AUGAUGAUGUCACACAUUCUCCUGCUGGGCACCCUGGGGCUCCUUGUUCAGGAUUCAUCAGGAGAAAUCACUCUGACUCAGUCUCCUGGAUCUCAGUCUGUUAGUCCAGGACAGACUGUCUCUAUCACAUGUAAAGCCAGUUCAUCAAUGAGUAGCUACCUCCACUGGUACCUUCAGAAACCUGGAGAAGCUCCUAAACUCCUGAUUAAUUAUGCCACAACCCUUCAGUCUGGAGUUUCAAGUCGUUUUAGUGGAAGUGGAUCUGGGACUGACUUCACUCUGACCAUCAGUGGAGUCCAGGCUGAAGAUUCAGGAGUUUACUUCUGUCAGCAGGGAGGCCAAAGCUACCCGUUCACACAGUGA